GAUGAACGCUGGCGGCGUGCCUAAUACAUGCAAGUCGAGCGAACAGACGAGGAGCUUGCUCCUCUGACGUUAGCGGCGGACGGGUGAGUAACACGUGGAUAACCUACCUAUAAGACUGGGAUAACUUCGGGAAACCGGAGCUAAUACCGGAUAAUAUAUUGAACCGCUUGGUUCAAUAGUGAAAGACGGUUUUGCUGCCACUUAUAGAUGGAUCCGCGCCGCAUUAGCUAGUUGGUAAGGUAACGGCUUACCAAGGCAACGAUGCGUAGCCGACCUGAGAGGGUGAUCGGCCACACUGGAACUGAGACACGGUCCAGACUCCUACGGGAGGCAGCAGUAGGGAAUCUUCCGCAAUGGGCGAAAGCCUGACGGAGCAACGCCGCGUGAGUGAUGAAGGUCUUCGGAUCGUAAAACUCUGUUAUUAGGGAAGAACAAAUGUGUAAGUAACUAUGCACGUCUUGACGGUACCUAAUCAGAAAGCCACGGCUAACUACGUG
This 497-nucleotide ribosomal RNA is filed under the name uncultured bacterium. Its description in RNAcentral is "partial 16S ribosomal RNA". It matches the Rfam family "Bacterial small subunit ribosomal RNA", at positions 28 to 507 of the family's 1533-position model. The record is from RNAcentral.